Molecule: ribosomal RNA, 497 nt
Filed under: uncultured bacterium
Lineage: Bacteria
Description: partial 16S ribosomal RNA
Rfam family: Bacterial small subunit ribosomal RNA
Source: RNAcentral
GAUGAACGCUGGCGGCGUGCCUAAUACAUGCAAGUAGAACGCUGAAGGAAGGAGCUUGCUCUUUCCGGAUGAGUUGCGAACGGGUGAGUAACGCGUAGGUAACCUGCCUGGUAGCGGGGGGUAACUAUUGGAAACGAUAGCUAAUACCGCAUAACAGUAGAUGUUGCAUGAUAUCUACUUAAAAGGUGCAAUUGCACCACUACCAGAUGGACCUGCGUUGUAUUAGCUAGUUGGUGAGGUAACGGCUCACCAAGGCGACGAUACAUAGCCGACCUGAGAGGGUGAUCGGCCACACUGGGACUGAGACACGGCCCAGACUCCUACGGGAGGCAGCAGUAGGGAAUCUUCGGCAAUGGACGGAAGUCUGACCGAGCAACGCCGCGUGAGUGAAGAAGGUUUUCGGAUCGUAAAGCUCUGUUGUAAGAGAAGAACGAGUGUGAGAGUGGAAAGUUCACACUGUGACGGUAUCUUACCAGAAAGGGACGGCUAACUACGUG